GUUAGGCCUUUGCUUCUUUCAUGGGCCUUCAUAAUUAUUGGACGAGCAUUUGGCACUUUGCUUAGGCCCAAAUGCCGGCCCAGAACGAAUCGAGAACAGCAUAAAUGUCAAUGGAGCUUUCUCAAAAAAAAUGUCAAUUGAGCUAAAUUUGUUCUGUUUGCUAAAAUUGUGUUGUCCUCCUCCUUUUUUUCACGCCUUCCUGCUAGAAAAUUAAGGACGUGAAAUUUGGUUGUUAAAAUUCGAAAAUAUUAUCGUUAAAAAGUUGAUCAAUGAACAUGGGUCAUUUAUGUCCUUUCCGUAGUUAAAAAUAUUAAUGAUCACGCCGUCCAAAUAUUUUUACAAACAGGACAAUACGUUCUCUUUAUUCUUUUAAGGAACCUUACCGCUGUAUGCUAUUAUCAAUAACUACCGUCCCCC
RNAcentral lists this long non-coding RNA (417 nucleotides) under Setaria viridis. RNAcentral describes it as "long non-coding RNA (SVIR_LNC010469)". The record is from RNAcentral. Lineage: Eukaryota; Viridiplantae; Streptophyta; Magnoliopsida; Poales; Poaceae.